AUUGAACGCUGGCGGCAUGCCUUACACAUGCAAGUCGAACGGUAACAGGUCUUCGGAUGCUGACGAGUGGCGAACGGGUGAGUAAUACAUCGGAACGUGCCUAGUAGUGGGGGAUAACUACUCGAAAGAGUGGCUAAUACCGCAUGAGAUCUACGGAUGAAAGCAGGGGAUCGCAAGACCUUGUGCUACUAGAGCGGCCGAUGGCAGAUUAGGUAGUUGGUGGGAUAACAGCUUACCAAGCCGACGAUCUGUAGCUGGUCUGAGAGGACGAUCAGCCACACGGGGACUGAGAACCGGCCCAGACUCCUACGGGAGGCAGCAGGUGGGAAUUUUGGAAAAUGGGCGCAAGCAUGAUCCAGCAAUGCCGCGUGCAGGAUGAAGGCCUUCGGGUUGUAAACUGGUUUUGUACGGAACGAAAAGCCCUGGGUUAAUACCCUGGGGUCAUGACGGUACCGUAAGAAUAAGCACCGGCUAACUACGUGCCAGCAGCCGCCGUAA
Molecule: ribosomal RNA, 498 nt
Filed under: uncultured bacterium
Lineage: Bacteria
Description: partial 16S ribosomal RNA
Rfam family: Bacterial small subunit ribosomal RNA
Source: RNAcentral